This is a non-coding RNA of Cajanus cajan (pigeon pea), 74 nucleotides long. The record is from Rfam. NCBI's taxonomy places the organism in Eukaryota, Viridiplantae, Streptophyta, Magnoliopsida, Fabales, Fabaceae.
GCGUUCAUGGCUGAAUGGUCAAAGUUUCCAACUCAUAAUUGGCGAAUUCGAAGGUUCAAUUCCUACCGGAUGAA